This 465-nucleotide ribosomal RNA is filed under the name uncultured bacterium. Its description in RNAcentral is "partial 16S ribosomal RNA". It matches the Rfam family "Bacterial small subunit ribosomal RNA", at positions 28 to 507 of the family's 1533-position model. The record is from RNAcentral.
GACGAACGCUGGCGGCGUGCUUAACACAUGCAAGUCGUACGGUAAGGCCCUUUCGGGGGUACACGAGUGGCGAACGGGUGAGUAACACGUGAGUAACCUGCCCACAACUUUGGGAUGACGAAAGGAAACUGGUGCUAAUAAUGGAUAUGUGCUCCUGCUGCAUGGAGGGGGGGGGAAGGCUCCGGCGGUUGUGGGUGGACUCGCGGCCGGUCCGCUUGUUGGUGGGGGAGUGGCCUACCAAGGCGGCGACGGGUAGCCGGCCGGAGAGGGUGACCGGCCACCUUGGGACUGGGAUACGGCCCAGACUCCUACGGGAGGCAGCAGUGGGGAAUAUUGCACAAUGGGCGCAAGCCUGAUGCAGCAACGCCGCGUGCGGGAUGACGGCCUUCGGGUUGUAAACCGCUUUCAGCAGGGACGAAGCUUUUUGUGACGGUACCUGCAGAAGAAGCACCGGCUAACUACGUG